GGUUGCUUAGUGUAGUGGUUUAGUAAGUAUCUCUUUAAAGACUUGAUUAAUGUGCUCCACUAACGAGUAUCAGGCACAUCGGAUUCUGAUAACUUGGAAAUUUCCGGGGACACGAGUUCGAAUCUCGUAGCGACCU
This 136-nucleotide transfer RNA is filed under the name Mollisia scopiformis. RNAcentral's name for it is "Phialocephala scopiformis tRNA". It matches the Rfam family "tRNA". Rfam says of the family: Transfer RNA (tRNA) molecules are approximately 80 nucleotides in length. Lineage: Eukaryota; Fungi; Ascomycota; Leotiomycetes; Helotiales; Mollisiaceae. The record is from Rfam by way of RNAcentral.